Tetranychus urticae (two-spotted spider mite) is the source of this 73-nucleotide transfer RNA. It matches the Rfam family "tRNA". Rfam says of the family: Transfer RNA (tRNA) molecules are approximately 80 nucleotides in length. Their secondary structure includes four short double-helical elements and three loops (D, anti-codon, and T loops). NCBI's taxonomy places the organism in Eukaryota, Metazoa, Arthropoda, Arachnida, Trombidiformes, Tetranychidae. The record is from Rfam.
GCCCGGUUAGCUCAGUCGGUAGAGCAUGAGGCUCUUAACCUCAGGGUCGUGGGUUCGAGCCCCACAUCGGGCG